This 185-nucleotide ribosomal RNA is filed under the name uncultured bacterium. RNAcentral describes it as "partial 16S ribosomal RNA". It matches the Rfam family "Bacterial small subunit ribosomal RNA", at positions 346 to 523 of the family's 1533-position model. The record is from RNAcentral.
AGGCAGCUGUGGGGAAUAUUGCACAAUGGGCGCAAGCCUGAUGCAGCCAUGCCGCGUGUGUGAAGAAGGCCUUCGGGUUGUAAAGCGCUUUAAGUUGGGAGGAAGGGCAGUAAGCGAAUACCUUGCUGUUUUGACGUUACCAACAGAAUAAGCACCGGCUAACUCUGUGCCAGCAGCCGCGGUAA